Molecule: ribosomal RNA, 416 nt
Filed under: uncultured bacterium
Lineage: Bacteria
Description: bacterial SSU rRNA
Rfam family: Bacterial small subunit ribosomal RNA
Source: RNAcentral
CUUCGUGCCAGCAGCCGCGGUAAUACGAAGGGGGCUAGCGUUGCUCGGAAUUACUGGGCGUAAAGGGAGCGUAGGCGGACAUUUAAGUCAGAGGUGAAAUCCCGGAGCUUAACUUCGGAACUGCCUUUGAUACUGGGUGUCUUGAGUGUGAGAGAGGUAUGUGGAACUCCGAGUGUAGAGGUGAAAUUCGUAGAUAUUCGGAAGAACACCAGUGGCGAAGGCGACAUACUGGCUCAUUACUGACGCUGAGGCUCGAAAGCGUGGGGAGCAAACAGGAUUAGAUACCCUGGUAGUCCACGCCGUAAACGAUGAUUGCUAGUUGUCGGGAAGCUUGCUUCUCGGUGACGCAGCUAACGCAUUAAGCAAUCCGCCUGGGGAGUACGGUCGCAAGAUUAAAACUCAAAGGAAUUGACGGG